UGUAAGUGCUAAGCGUCAUGCUAUAAAGCUGGAAGAUAUACUGGCCAUGAUAAAACGCCAUGAAAAAGGUGAAAAAGUGGUAGCAAUUGCAGGAUCUUUUGGGAUGAGUCGGGCAACUGUAUCGACGAUUGUACAUAAUAAGGACAAGAUUUUAGCACACAUGAAAUUUGAAGCCCCAGG
Long non-coding RNA from Octopus sinensis (East Asian common octopus), 180 nucleotides. RefSeq lists it as uncharacterized. The transcript has 3 exons. The record is from RefSeq and is a predicted model, not a curated record. Lineage: Eukaryota; Metazoa; Mollusca; Cephalopoda; Octopoda; Octopodidae.